RNAcentral lists this ribosomal RNA (253 nucleotides) under uncultured bacterium. RNAcentral describes it as "partial 16S ribosomal RNA". It matches the Rfam family "Bacterial small subunit ribosomal RNA", at positions 524 to 776 of the family's 1533-position model. The record is from RNAcentral.
UACGUAGGGCCCAAGCGUUGUUCGGAUUUACUGGGCGUAAAGGGCGCGUAGGCGGCAAUUCAAGUCAUCUGUGAAAUCUCCGGGCUUAACUCGGAACGGCCAAGUGAAACUGUCAUGCUAGAGUGCAGAAGGGGCAAUCGGAAUUCUUGGUGUAGCGGUGAAAUGCGUAGAUAUCAAGAGGAACACCUGAGGUGAAGACGGGUUGCUGGGCUGACACUGACGCUGAGGCGCGAAAGCCAGGGGAGCAAACGGG